Long non-coding RNA from Amphiprion ocellaris (clown anemonefish), 707 nucleotides. RefSeq lists it as uncharacterized. The record is from RefSeq and is a predicted model, not a curated record. The transcript is spliced from 4 exons. NCBI's taxonomy places the organism in Eukaryota, Metazoa, Chordata, Actinopteri, Pomacentridae.
GGUAGUUCGGUCUCAGACAGCUCUGAUCCAAAGCCCUGCAGCAGCUGGGCAAUUUCCUUCACUGUGACUGCAAAGGUCUCAAUGGCCUGCAGACAGACACACAUUUUUACUCAGAAAAGACACAAAGAAGGCCGGAAACGUGGCAUGCAGUGGUGGAUUAAGCAGCAUCUGAAGUGCCUACCGUACGGAGGACGAUCCAGUCACUCUGGCAAUACUCCACUUUUGCAGUGAAGUCGGAUGUCAAGUGGUUUUCAUCGAUGUAUCGCAGCAGGUCACCAACUGAACGCAGCAUCACCACCUGCAAAAUGUAGAAACCAAAAGGCAUCUAGGCAGUGCUGUGCUGCGUCUGACAUUUUGACAGGAAAUCAUCCUGGCUGAAGCGGAAGCCCAGGUCAGUGCUUGAAGAUGGACUGGGGGCGGAGCUUAACAAGGUGGAGGGGCGGAGCACCAAGACCAAAUGUAGAUUACCAGGAAAUGAGGUCUGAAAGAAAGCAACAGAUACAACUUUGUUACUCAACAUAUCUGUUCAAGGAAGGCAUCAACAUCAAACAAACUCCCCAGAUGUACAGUAUCCUCGCCGCCCCGUUAGAAGCUUCCCACCUCCCCACCUCUCGGCGGAGCUUACCGCGGCCCGGCGCAGACGGGGGAAGCCCCGCAGCGGGUUGGACUCGGCCAUGGCUUCCUUGUUCUUGCCCUGUUCUCCCCCC